This 1004-nucleotide ribosomal RNA is filed under the name human metagenome. Its description in RNAcentral is "bacterial LSU rRNA". It matches the Rfam family "Bacterial large subunit ribosomal RNA", at positions 1923 to 2925 of the family's 2925-position model. The record is from RNAcentral.
GUAAACGGCGGCCGUAACUAUAACGGUCCUAAGGUAGCGAAAUUCCUUGUCGGGUAAGUUCCGACCUGCACGAAUGGCAUAAUGAUGGCCAGGCUGUCUCCACCCGAGACUCAGUGAAAUUGAAAUCGCCGUGAAGAUGCGGUGUACCCGCGGCUAGACGGAAAGACCCCGUGAACCUUUACUAUAGCUUGACACUGAACAUUGAAUUUUGAUGUGUAGGAUAGGUGGGAGACUAUGAAGCAGUCACGCCAGUGAUUGUGGAGUCGUCCUUGAAAUACCACCCUUUAACGUUUGAUGUUCUAACGAAGAUUACGAAACGUGGUCUCGGACAGUGUCUGGUGGGUAGUUUGACUGGGGCGGUCUCCUCCCAAAGAGUAACGGAGGAGCACGAAGGUUUGCUAAUGACGGUCGGACAUCGUCAGGUUAGUGCAAUGGUAUAAGCAAGCUUAACUGCGAGACAGACAAGUCGAGCAGGUACGAAAGUAGGUCAUAGUGAUCCGGUGGUUCUGAAUGGAAGGGCCAUCGCUCAACGGAUAAAAGGUACUCCGGGGAUAACAGGCUGAUACCGCCCAAGAGUUCAUAUCGACGGCGGUGUUUGGCACCUCGAUGUCGGCUCAUCACAUCCUGGGGCUGAAGUAGGUCCCAAGGGUAUGGCUGUUCGCCAUUUAAAGUGGUACGCGAGCUGGGUUUAGAACGUCGUGAGACAGUUCGGUCCCUAUCUGCCGUGGGCGUUGGAGAAUUGGUUGGGGCUGCUCCUAGUACGAGAGGACCGGAGUGGACGCACCACUGGUGUUCCGGUUGUGUCGCCAGACGCAUUGCCGGGUAGCUAAGUGCGGAAGAGAUAAGUGCUGAAAGCAUCUAAGCACGAAACUUGCCAAGAGAUGAGUUCUCCCAGAUUUAAAAUCUGUAAGGGUUGUUUAAGACUAAGACGUAGAUAGGUCUGGUGUGUAAGCGGUGCGAGCCGUUGAGCUAACAGAUACUAAUUGCCCGAGAGGCUUAACUAU